GUAGUCCAUGCUGUAAACGAUGAGAACUAGAUGUUAGAGGGCAUGACCUUCUAGUAUCGAAGCUAACGCGAUAAGUUCUCCGCCUGGGGAGUACGGCCGCAAGGUUAAAACUCAAAGAAAUUGACGGGGGCCCGCACAAGCGGUGGAGCAUGUGGUUUAAUUCGAUGCAACGCGAAGAACCUUACCUACCUUUGAAUCCACAGAACCUAGCAGAGAUGUUGGGGUGCCUUCGGGAACUGUGAGACAGGUGCUGCAUGGCUGUCGUCAGCUCGUGUCGUGAGAUGUUGGGUUAAGUCCCGUAACGAGCGCAACCCUUGUCCUUAGUUGCCAUCAGGUUAUGCUGGGCACUUUAAGGAGACUGCCGGUGAUAAACCGGA
This 377-nucleotide ribosomal RNA is filed under the name uncultured bacterium. RNAcentral describes it as "bacterial SSU rRNA". It matches the Rfam family "Bacterial small subunit ribosomal RNA", at positions 790 to 1167 of the family's 1533-position model. The record is from RNAcentral.